AUUGAACGCUGGCGGCAUGCCUUACACAUGCAAGUCGAACGGUAACGGGCCUUCGGGUGCCGACGAGUGGCGAACGGGUGAGUAAUGCAUCGGAACGUACCUUUCAGUGGGGGGAUAACGUAGCGAAAGUUACGCUAAUACCGCAUAUUCUGUGAGCAGGAAAGCAGGGGAUCGCAAGACCUUGCGCUGAUUGAGCGGCCGAUGUCAGAUUAGCUAGUUGGUGAGGUAAAGGCUCACCAAGGCGACGAUCUGUAGCGGGUCUGAGAGGAUGAUCCGCCACACUGGAACUGAGACACGGUCCAGACUCCUACGGGAGGCAGCAGUGGGGAAUUUUGGACAAUGGGGGCAACCCUGAUCCAGCCAUGCCGCGUGAGUGAAGAAGGCCUUC
This 388-nucleotide ribosomal RNA is filed under the name uncultured bacterium. RNAcentral describes it as "bacterial SSU rRNA". It matches the Rfam family "Bacterial small subunit ribosomal RNA", at positions 30 to 419 of the family's 1533-position model. The record is from RNAcentral.